GACGAACGCUGGCGGCGUGCUUAACACAUGCAAGUCGAACGGGUGUAGCAAUACAUCAGUGGCAGACGGGUGAGUAACACGUGGGAACCUUCCUCGUUGUACGGGACAACUCAGGGAAACUUGAGCUAAUACCGUAUACGUCCGAGAGGAGAAAGAUUUAUCGCAAUGAGACGGGCCCGCGUCGGAUUAGCUAGUUGGUGGGGUAACGGCCUACCAAGGCGACGAUCCGUAGCUGAUCUGAGAGGAUGAUCAGCCACACUGGGACUGAGACACGGCCCAGACUCCUACGGGAGGCAGCAGUGGGGAAUCUUGGACAAUGGGCGCAAGCCUGAUCCAGCCAUGCCGCGUGAGUGAAGAAGGCCUUAGGGUUGUAAAGCUCUUUUGCCAGGGACGAUAAUGACGGUACCUGGAGAAUAAGCCCCGGCAAACUUCGUGCCAGCCGCCGCCGUAA
RNAcentral lists this ribosomal RNA (451 nucleotides) under uncultured bacterium. Its description in RNAcentral is "partial 16S ribosomal RNA". It matches the Rfam family "Bacterial small subunit ribosomal RNA", at positions 28 to 523 of the family's 1533-position model. The record is from RNAcentral.